GUGCUGAGUGUUGUACGUUUUUUGACCCCCAUGGUUUUUAUCCACAUGUGGACUACAAUAAAGUUUGGAUUUUAUUUUACUUCAUUCUUUGACCCUGGAUUUCUUUCUACUUAUUACUACAUUACGCCAGUAUCUGGGGUCCUUAGGCUCGAAAGCCUCUCACUUAGCAGGCUUAGUUUAGAUUUGCCUGCCCCUACAGCCCUGAUUACGUCUGCAUACUACCAACUGAAGACAAGACAAGGGACACACUGAUUGGACACCGCAUAUCACGUGACCGGCUGUGCACACGUCAUCGGACGCGCACAGUGUGAAUAGAGAAACAAACUGAAUCGGCACAUUACAGAGGACUCUACAAGAAGCGGUGAGCUAAGAGGAUCUACUUGAGCACACGGAGCAGGACGGAUAGUGACAACGCAGCAUCGCAUUUGAUGCAAUAUAAAUGAUGAUGCAUCAUACGUGCCACAUCAACACGUUUCUGAGAAUCUGGAGGUUGAGGAAGAUGAUGGGUCUGGCAUGCAACAGGAACAAGAUGGAGAUCUAGAUGUUGCUGAGGAGGAAUUAACAUCAAUAGAACAAGAAGUUGAUGAGGAAGAAGUUGCUGAUGAUGAUGGUGACAAUGAUGAUGAGGAUGGUGAACAUGGAUAUGAACAUAUACCAGUGGAUAAAACCAUCACUGUGAAUAAAAGGGAAGUGCUGAAAUUAUUGAGGUUCUUGAGACAGCAGUAUAAGCAGUAGAAGAGAGUGC
Molecule: long non-coding RNA, 745 nt
Organism: Bombina bombina (fire-bellied toad)
Lineage: Eukaryota; Metazoa; Chordata; Amphibia; Anura; Bombinatoridae
Exons: 4
Source: RefSeq, a predicted model, not a curated record